CAACCUGCCCAUCACUUGGGGAUAACCUUGCGAAAGUAAGACUAAUACCCAAUGAUAUCUCUAGAAGACAUCUGAAGGAGAUUAAAGAUUUAUCGGUGAUGGAUGGGGAUGCGUCUGAUUAGCUUGUUGGCGGGGUAACGGCCCACCAAGGCGACGAUCAGUAGGGGUUCUGAGAGGAAGGUCCCACACAUUGGAACUGAGACACGGUCCAAACUCCUACGGGAGGCAGCAGUGAGGAAUAUUGGUCAAUGGACGAGAGUCUGAACCAGCCAAGUAGCGUGCAGGAUGACGGCCCUAUGGGUUGUAAACUGCUUUUAUAAGGGAAUAAAGUUAGUCUCGUGAGACUUUUUGCAUGUACCUUAUGAAUAAGGACCGGCUAAUUCCGUGCCAGCAGCCGCGGUAAUACGGAAGGUCCGGGCGUUAUCCGGAUUUAUUGGGUUUAAAGGGAGCGUAGGCCGGAGAUUAAGCGUGUUGUGAAAUGUAGACGCUCAACGUCUGCACUGCAGCGCGAACUGGUUUCCUUGAGUACGCACAAAGUGGGCGGAAUUCGUGGUGUAGCGGUGAAAUGCUUAGAUAUCACGAAGAACUCCGAUUG
RNAcentral lists this ribosomal RNA (595 nucleotides) under uncultured Bacteroidota bacterium. RNAcentral's name for it is "bacterial SSU rRNA". It matches the Rfam family "Bacterial small subunit ribosomal RNA", at positions 122 to 715 of the family's 1533-position model. The record is from RNAcentral. Lineage: Bacteria; Pseudomonadati; Bacteroidota.